AGGUAAUGGCUCACCACGACGACGACGGGUAGCCGGCCCGAGAGGGCGACCGGCCACACUGGGANNGAGACACGGCCCAGACUCUUACGGGAGGCAGCACUGGGGAAUAUUGCACACUGGGGGAAACCCCGAUGCAGCGACGCAGCGUGCGGGAUGACGGCCCUCGGGUUGUAAACCGCUUUCAGCAGGGAAGAAGCCUCACGGUGACGGUACCUGCAGAAGAAGUACCGGCUAACUACGUGCCAGCAGCCGCGGUAAUACGUAGGGUACGAGCGUUGUCCGGAAUUAUUGGGCGUAAAGAGCUCGUAGGUGGUUGGUCACGUCUGCUGUGGAAACGCAACGCUUAACGUUGCGCGUGCAGUGGGUACGGGCUGACUAGAGUGCAGUAGGGGAGUCUGGAAUUCCUGGUGUAGCGGUGAAAUGCGCAGAUAUCAGGAGGAACACCGGUGGCGAAGGCGGGACUCUGGGCUGUAACUGACACUGAGGAGCGAAAGCAUGGGGAGCGAACAGGAUUAGAUACCCUGGUAGUCCAUGCCGUAAACGUUGGGCACUAGGUGUGGGGGGCAUUCCACGUUCUCCGCGCCGUAGCUAACGCAUUAAGU
Molecule: ribosomal RNA, 602 nt
Filed under: Brevibacterium sp.
Lineage: Bacteria; Bacillati; Actinomycetota; Actinomycetes; Micrococcales; Brevibacteriaceae
Description: bacterial SSU rRNA
Rfam family: Bacterial small subunit ribosomal RNA
Source: RNAcentral